This is a non-coding RNA of Cyprinus carpio (common carp), 380 nucleotides long. NCBI's taxonomy places the organism in Eukaryota, Metazoa, Chordata, Actinopteri, Cypriniformes, Cyprinidae. The record is from the annotation of a RefSeq genome assembly.
UCAACAUGACCUUCAUCAUCAUCUUCGUCUGGACUCUCACAGCGUUUGCUCAAGAGUAUAGAGGACAGAUCAGCGUCACUCAGAGUCCCUCAACAGCAGCACAACCAGGAGAAACAGUGAAGAUCAGCUGUAAAACCAGCACUAAUGUGGUCAGAUGGGGUGAUGGGACUGAAGUUUUAUCCUGGUACUUACAGAAACCUGGAGAAGCUCCUAAACUCCUGAUUUAUUAUGCAAACCGCCUCCAGUCAGGAACUCCAUCUAGAUUCAGUCGCAGUGGAUCUAACAGUGAUUUCACUCUGACCAUCAGUGGAGUCCAGACUGAAGAUGCUGGACAUUAUCACUGUCAGAGUUUACAUAGUGGUCCAGUGUUCACACAGUGA